AUUUUUCAUGAUUAUUUCACGACGAAGAUCAUCACAUCAAUGAAUCAAAUAAUACGGACAUGCCUUUGGUAUUAGCAGGGUGCAGCCUGCAGGCAACAUAUGCAACAAUACUUUCAUCUGUGAAUACCCACUUGCUAAGCCCACCAUGAACUACAAAGGCCGAGUAAUAUGUAAGGACACCAAUGAACAGACUUUUCCAAUCAUCAUACAUCAUAUACAUGGGUGGUCAAACUCAUUGGAUGGUUUAUCAACAAUCCCAUUCUCACGAACAGCCUUGCCC
Long non-coding RNA from Saccostrea cuccullata (small rock oyster), 280 nucleotides. RefSeq lists it as uncharacterized. NCBI's taxonomy places the organism in Eukaryota, Metazoa, Mollusca, Bivalvia, Ostreida, Ostreidae. The transcript has 3 exons. The record is from RefSeq and is a predicted model, not a curated record.